Molecule: ribosomal RNA, 251 nt
Filed under: uncultured Staphylococcus sp.
Lineage: Bacteria; Bacillati; Bacillota; Bacilli; Caryophanales; Staphylococcaceae
Description: partial 16S ribosomal RNA
Rfam family: Bacterial small subunit ribosomal RNA
Source: RNAcentral
ACGUUAGCGGCGGACGGGUGAGUAACACGUAGGUAACCUACCUAUAAGACUGGGAUAACUUCGGGAAACCGGGGCUAAUACCGGAUAAUACAUGAAACCGCAUGGUUUCAUGAUGAAAGACGGUUUUGCUGUCACUUAUAGAUGGACCCGCGGCGUAUUAGCUAGUUGGUAAGGUAACGGCUUACCAAGGCAACGAUACGUAGCCGACCUGAGAGGGUGAUCGGCCACACUGGAACUGAGACACGGUCCAG